RNAcentral lists this ribosomal RNA (545 nucleotides) under uncultured Nitrososphaerota archaeon. RNAcentral describes it as "uncultured thaumarchaeote partial 16S ribosomal RNA". Lineage: Archaea; Thermoproteati; Nitrososphaerota. The record is from RNAcentral.
CACUACACACUAUCUAUUCAUAGUUGUAGUUGCUGUAAAUAGUACAUUAUUGACAAUCAACGCAGGAGACUACAUAUUCUAUACAGAUUGGGCAUGGACAUCAUUUGUUGUAUUCUCAGUAUCCCAAUCAACAAUGCUUGUAGUGGGAGCAAUCUAUUACAUGCUAUUCACCGGUGUACCAGGGACUGCAACAUAUUAUGCAACAAUCAUGACUAUCUAUACAUGGGUAGCCAAAGGAGCUUGGUUUGCACUAGGAUAUCCAUACGACUUCAUGGGCAACUAGAAGGAAUAAACAUGCUGCCAUAAUUAUUGGCGGAACAUUGGUUGGACUUUCACUACCAAUAUUCAACAUGAUAAAUCUACUGCUGGUAAGAGACCCUCUAGAGAUGGCAUUCAAGUAUCCUCGUCCAACAUUGCCUCCAUACAUGACACCAAUUGAGCCUCAGGUCGGUAAGUUCUACAAUAGUCCCGUGGCGCUAGGAUCCGGGGCGGGAGCUGUACUGAGCGUUCCAAUCGCUGCAUUGGGCGCAAAACUAAAUACCUGG